Long non-coding RNA from Morus notabilis, 543 nucleotides. RefSeq lists it as uncharacterized. The transcript is spliced from 3 exons. The record is from RefSeq and is a predicted model, not a curated record. NCBI's taxonomy places the organism in Eukaryota, Viridiplantae, Streptophyta, Magnoliopsida, Rosales, Moraceae.
CUCUCUCUUUCCAGAAAAACAAAACUAUUCCUGUAACUAGAAGAGGAGUCGUAGGAAACCCAUAAAAAAUCACUCAAAACCCUAAUUUCUCACCAAAAACCUUCUCCCAACUCAGAACUAUCAUCCACCUUCAAUUUUUAGACAUUAGAGAUGAUUUUUUAAGUCCUAAAAAUCUCUCUGAAGUUGGGUUCAAAAUUAUUCCGAGAAUAGGAGUUCUUGCAUCCGUUUUGAAUCUUAUUUCAAUCAAACCCUUCAAGUCAAGAACGAGUUUUCAUCAUCAACGGAGUCUAAAACCAUUUGUUCUUCGAGGGCAAGUCUAUAGUUAAAGAGAAGUGGGCAAGAAAACAGAUCGAGGUGGUGGUACAGUUCAUUUUAUGAUGUUGAGACUGUUAUUUUUAGGAACUUACUUCUAAACUUCCACAGAUAUUAAUGGUCAAACUUUAUUAAAUCUUUUGGGAAACGGUCAUAUGGCCCAAUAUGAACCUCGUAUGAAUUUUAAAAAAAAAAAUCUCACAGAAACUUCCGCAUUAUAAAUAUAGUUUU